This 1371-nucleotide ribosomal RNA is filed under the name uncultured bacterium. RNAcentral describes it as "16S ribosomal RNA". It matches the Rfam family "Bacterial small subunit ribosomal RNA". The record is from RNAcentral.
UUGAGUUUGAUCCUGGCUCAGGACGAACGCUGGCGGCGCGCCUAACACAUGCAAGUCGAACGAGCGAGAGAGAGCUUGCUUUCUCAAGCGAGUGGCGAACGGGUGAGUAACGCGUGAGGAACCUGCCUCAAAGAGGGGGACAACAGUUGGAAACGACUGCUAAUACCGCAUAAGCCCACGGCUCGGCAUCGAGCAGAGGGAAAAGGAGCAAUCCGCUUUGAGAUGGCCUCGCGUCCGAUUAGCUAGUUGGUGAGGUAACGGCCCACCAAGGCAACGAUCGGUAGCCGGACUGAGAGGUUGAACGGCCACAUUGGGACUGAGACACGGCCCAGACUCCUACGGGAGGCAGCAGUGGGGAAUAUUGCACAAUGGGGGAAACCCUGAUGCAGCGACGCCGCGUGGAGGAAGAAGGUCUUCGGAUUGUAAACUCCUGUUGUUGGGGAAGAUAAUGACGGUACCCAACAAGGAAGUGACGGCUAACUACGUGCCAGCAGCCGCGGUAAAACGUAGGUCACAAACGUUGUCCGGAAUUACUGGGUGUAAAGGGAGCGCAGGCGGGAAGACAAGUUGGAAGUGAAAUCUAUGGGCUCAACCCAUAAACUGCUUUCAAAACUGUUUUUCUUGAGUAGUGCAGAGGUAGGCGGAAUUCCCGGUGUAGCGGUGGAAUGCGUAGAUAUCGGGAGGAACACCAGUGGCGAAGGCGGCCUACUGGGCACCAACUGACGCUGAGGCUCGAAAGUGUGGGUAGCAAACAGGAUUAGAUACCCUGGUAGUCCACACCGUAAACGAUGAUUACUAGGUGUUGGAGGAUUGACCCCUUCAGUGCCGCAGUUAACACAAUAAGUAAUCCACCUGGGGAGUACGACCGCAAGGUUGAAACUCAAAGGAAUUGACGGGGGCCCGCACAAGCAGUGGAGUAUGUGGUUUAAUUCGACGCAACGCGAAGAACCUUACCAAGUCUUGACAUCCCUUGACAGGCAUAGAGAUAUGUAAUCUUUUCGGAGCAAGGAGACAGGUGGUGCAUGGUUGUCGUCAGCUCGUGUCGUGAGAUGUUGGGUUAAGUCCCGCAACGAGCGCAACCCUUAUGGUCAGUUACUACGCAAGAGGACUCUGGCCAGACUGCCGUUGACAAAACGGAGGAAGGUGGGGAUGACGUCAAAUCAUCAUGCCCUUUAUGACUUGGGCUACACACGUACUACAAUGGCGUUAAACAAAGAGAAGCAAGACCGCGAGGUGGAGCAAAACUCAGAAACAACGUCCCAGUUCGGACUGCAGGCUGCAACUCGCCUGCACGAAGUCGGAAUUGCUAGUAAUCGUGGAUCAGCAUGCCACGGUGAAUACGUUCCCGGGCCUUGCACUCACCGCCCGUCA